UCCUUCAGCAAAUCCUACCAGCUUGUGCCACCACAAUCAGCUAAGCUAAGCAGAGUCAGGUCUGGUUAGUACUUGGAUGGGAGACUGCCUAGGAAUACCGGGUGCUGUAGUGG
This is a ribosomal RNA of Cricetulus griseus (Chinese hamster), 113 nucleotides long. The record is from Ensembl. NCBI's taxonomy places the organism in Eukaryota, Metazoa, Chordata, Mammalia, Rodentia, Cricetidae.